CGACCCUCCCCUUGACCCACGCCUCUGCGCAGGCGCCUUGGCGGGCUGUGGCUGCGGAGUUGGCGGGUCGGCGCCUGCGCACUGGAGUCCCCCGCGAUUUUUUCCUCCGGGGUGGGCGAGGAGGCUGUGCGGCCUUCCCCAGCGGCUGUAGCAGGAGACCUGCGGCUGCAUCUCCCAGGGCCUUCCGGCGGGGCCGAGGGUAGGACCGAGGCACUUCUUCCUUGCAAGCGCGUUUAUUUGUAUUUUCAACCACACUUCAGACGCUACUGGUUUAUAGGAACGUUAAGUUUACUGAGUGUGCAGCUACGCUCCCCUGGGUUUUUGUUCCUUUCCUUAAAGGGCCAGGUGUAGGAGACAGUAGUCCUGCUCCCAAAAAAAGAAUAAAUAGAAGUGCCCGCCCUCUUGGGCUGGACCCCCGUGGCCAAGGGAGUUUUUAGUGAUGGCUGGCAUGGACGUCAGUAUGAAAGUGUACCGGAGUAUUAGUGAUGCUUAACUUUUCACAAUUUGAAUAUGCACUUAAGUAGGGCAGUGCAUUCCCUGAACUCAGCUUUAUGGCUACAGCCCAGUGAAGCAACGGGAUGUGAACUCCAAAACGGCGAAUCCUCCUUUGCUGUUUCCCUCUGGUGCCUUUCUGCAGCCUCGGAGUGAGUUCUUGGCUGUAGUCAGUUUUCAGUACCGUUAGUGACGAGUCCGGUGGGGCGCGGCCAGGAUUAGGAUGAAUCAUACAAGUGCUGGGUGGAUCCUGUCUUUACCUAAAAUUUUGAUAAUUAGUUGUGGGGCGCGGCCAGGAUUAGGAUGAAUCAUACAAGUGCUGGGUGGAUCCUGUCUUUACCUAAAAUUUUGAUAAUUAGUUCAUCAUGGGUUUUUUGCCUUUUUCAUUUUUAAAAAUGUUAAAAUAGUGUCACUCUUGAUGACUUAAAUUUUUUUCAUCCCCGUAAACGCACCUGAGGCCUGUGCUUCCUUGCCUCACCCUAACCUGGCCCUGGGGCUAGAUCCUGGAGAUUCAGGGUUGAAAAGACAAAGUCCUGUCCUUUAGGGAGUUUACAGAGACCAAUGGGAAAGAAGUUGACAGUGAACAAUUUCAGAACACGAAAGAGGAUAUGAAAGAAUGUAAUCGGGGGUAGAGAAUGCAGAUUAGUAUAGGUUAAGGAUUUUGGAUGGUCAGGACGCUUUCUGAGGCUUUGAACCCAGAUGCGUUGAACUGGCAAUGCAGGGCUGCAUAAUAAGCAGAGGGAAUAAUAAGCAGAGGGAAUGCCUGACUACGACUUAGUGAACAAGAGAGAGAGGAGAUGAGGUUAGAGAGGUAGGCAGAAGCCAGAUCCUGUGGGACCUUGUAGUUUUUCCAUGCAGAGUUUAGACUUUCUUCUGAUUGCAGUGGUUAGCUGUUGGAAGGAUUUUGGCAAGGUAGUUAUUUGUUGAUAGAAUAUUGAAAUUAUAAUAGCUUUUUUAUGUAAAAAAAAGAAUGUAAAUGUUAGCCUUUCAUUCUCACAAUAGGUUAGCAUUAUUUUCAGUGUACAAUGGUCGUGCUUCUCAGUGUGAGUUAAUUCUCACUGUGGCUACCAAAACCACACAGCUAGUAAGCGGAGAUUCGAGUGCCCGUCUGCAGGAUUCAAAAAGUCCAUGUCCUUUCCUCUUAUGCUAUGCUAGCCUAUAACACUAUCUGCUGGAGUCCUGGUUGGUUUUAGUACAUUUCACAUUACUUCACAGUUUGACCUUAGAGAUAAUUGUAUUCACCUCUUCUAUUUUCAGAUGCUGGCAUAAAUACAAAAUUCGAAGCAGGCAAGGUUUCUCAUUACAUUAGUUUUUAUUUGUAUUUUUUUGAGACUGAGUCUCGCUCUGUAGCCCAGGCUGGAGUGCAGUGGCGCGAUCUUGGCCCGCUGCAGUCCCUGCCUCCUGGUUCAAGCGGUUCUCCUGCCUCAGCCUCCCAAGUAGCUGGGAUUAUAGGCAUGCGCCACCACGCCUGGCUAAUUUUUAUAUUUUUAGUAGAGACGGGGUUUCACCUUUUUGUCCAGGCUGGUCUUGAACUCCUGAUCUCAACUGAUCCAUCCACCUCGGCCUCCCAAAGUGCUGGGUGGCAUGAGCCACCGAGCCUGGCUCAUUAAAUUAGCUGAGCAUCUGGAAUAUAACCUUUGGAUCUUAUCCUCAGCUUAGAUUUGUUCUUCAGCAGUUUUUUUAUUCUCUAGAAAAAGGCUGAUAUAUUAUUGGAGAAAUCAAAAUUUCUGUCAUAAUGUAAUAUAAAGAACCAAGCAUGUUUUGUUGCAUGCUAGAAUAAUUUGUUAGGUUUUUUUUUUCAGCUUAUUGGGUUACUGCAUCAUUGACAUUAAAUAAUGUUUGAGCUUUAAUUAUUAUAUUAUUCAUAACUGUCGAUAGGUUCAGUUCACUGGCACCUGUUAAAAUUCUCAUCUAAGUGAGAAAGUUAGGGCCACUCUGGCGGGGUGUGGUGGCUCAUGCCUGUAACCCCAGCACUUUGGGAGUCAGAGGCAGGAGGAUUGCUUGAGCCCAGGAGUCAACAUGGUGAAACCCCAUCUCUACCAAAAACAAAAAAAGCAAAAAUUAGCCAGGCAUGGUGGUGCAUACCUGUAGUCCCAGCUACUUGGGAGGCCGAGGUGGGAGGAUGGCUUGAGCCCAGAGGCAGAGGUUGCAGUGAGCUGAGAUCGCAUCACUGCACUCCAGCCUGGCGACCAAAAAAUAAAGGGCAAGGGGACAUUCUGAAUUUUACUAGAAGCCAAUAGAUGUAUACACCUCAUUUUUCAAAUCAGCAUCAAUCAGUUGUUGGGUGUUUAGGUGGAACAUGAAGUGCAGAGAGAACUGCCCUCAUUCUUUCGUAAAAUUCUUAUCGCAGACCUAUCACAUGCAAAACAAUGGGAUAUAUGGAAAUAAAUGGGACAUGACACCUGCCCUUGUGCUUAUUAUCUGUGGGCUUGCCACAUAAUAGCCAUAAUAGGUGUUCAGUAAAUAAUUUCUGAAUACCAAUCAGGCAUAUCUGUGGGGGUAAGGUGUAUAAAAUAAAGCUAUGUGGAACACUGGAUGAGUCAAAUACAUUUAAAUUUGUGGAAAUUUUGGCCGGGACUGGUGGCUCACACCUGUAAUCCCAGCACUUGGAAGGCCUAGGUGGGCAGAUCACCUGAGGUCAGAAGUUCAAGACCAGCCUGGCCAACAUUGUGAAACCCCAUCUCUACUAAAAAUACAAAAAAUUGGCCAGGCAUGGGGGCGGGUGCCUGUAAUCCCAGCUACUUGGGAGGCUGAGGCAGGAGAAUCAUUUGAACCUAGGAGGCGGAGGUUGCAGUGAGCCGAGAUCACGCCAUUGCACUCCAGCCUGGCCAGCAAGAGUGAAACUCCAUGUCAAAAAGAAAAAAAAAAAUUGUGGAAAUUUUCAUAGAAAAAAAGGAGUUACUUCUAUGUACCAGGAUAAGGGAAUAAUCUGUAGGACAGGGUUUCUUAACCUCAGCACAUUUUUGGCCAGAUAAUUGUUGUAGGAUGUUUAGCAGCAUCUCUUUUAUUCCAUCUUCCAGUUGUGGUAACUGUCUCUAAACGUUGUCAGAUGUCUCCUGCGGGGGCAAAAGACCCUCUGGAUGAGAACCAUGGCUGUAGGGGAUGUCUUCUGAAGAAAUGGGCACAAAGGAGGCCU
Molecule: long non-coding RNA, 3628 nt
Filed under: Homo sapiens (human)
Lineage: Eukaryota; Metazoa; Chordata; Mammalia; Primates; Hominidae
Description: non-protein coding lnc-VIP-1:2
Source: RNAcentral